GACGAACGCUGGCGGCGUGCUUAACACAUGCAAGUCGAACGCUGAAGCUCAGCUUUUGUUGGGUGGAUGAGUGGCGAACGGGUGAGUAACACGUGAGUAACCUGCUCCCUUCUUUGGGAUAACGCCCGGAAACGGGUGCUAAUACUGGAUAUUCACUGGUCUUCGCAUGGGGGUUGGUGGAAAGGGUUUUUCUGGUGGGGGAUGGGCUCGCGGCCUGUCAGCUUGUUGGUGGGGUGAUGGCCUACCAAGGCUUUGACGGGUAGCCGGCCUGAGAGGGUGACCGGUAACAUUGGGACUGAGAUACGGCCCAGACUCCUACGGGAGGCAGCAGUGGGGAAUAUUGCACAAUGGGCGCAAGCCUGAUGCAGCGACGCCGCGUGAGGGAUGGAGGCCUUCGGGUUGUGAACCUCUUUCGCUCAUGGUCAAGCCGCAACAAUGGUUGUGGUGAGGGUAGUGGGUAAAGAAGCGCCGGCUAACUACGUG
This 483-nucleotide ribosomal RNA is filed under the name uncultured bacterium. RNAcentral describes it as "partial 16S ribosomal RNA". It matches the Rfam family "Bacterial small subunit ribosomal RNA", at positions 28 to 507 of the family's 1533-position model. The record is from RNAcentral.